This is a long non-coding RNA of Vigna angularis (adzuki bean), 4647 nucleotides long. RefSeq lists it as uncharacterized. The record is from RefSeq and is a predicted model, not a curated record. The transcript has 9 exons. NCBI's taxonomy places the organism in Eukaryota, Viridiplantae, Streptophyta, Magnoliopsida, Fabales, Fabaceae.
UACAGUUAUUUUCGAUAUUAAUAUGUCAAUUCAUAAAUUUAAUAAAUUUAUUUAAACAUUAUUUUCUCUAUUUGAACGUGCUCCUUCUUUGGAUUGAGAGACCAUCAAAUCAAAGAUUCCUUGCUUAGACUCGUGUGGAUACGAUUGGAACGACAGUGGCUAGAGUAGCGGGUGAUGGGAAGGAAGAAGAGGAAUUUGAUGGUCUAAGAUGUGUCCUGCUUGACGAGGCAAAUGACGACAUUGCCAUGCAUGAGAGUAGAGAUGAGGACAGAGCUGGAACUUUUGAUGAACACGACGAAGAUGCACAGAACGUUGCAUUGUUAGGAGAUUGAGAUUGAAGCGAAGGCGCUGCGUUUUGAGAAGAUUAAGGCUUCUGAAAGUUCAAGAUUAAAAGUUUCCACGGGUGAAAUUGCUAUACAACCUCAAGAAGGGUUACUUUUUUUGGUCAACUUCCACACUUAGCCGUGAAUCAGAUUCAAGUGAUGAAUAAAUAUUUCCUCUCUGUUAACAACCAGUAUGUGGAUUAAGAAGUCCAUCUUUGCAAAUGGGGUUUCAUCACAAAUAAUGAAAGGGCAUUAGAGGAGCCAUUUGUGGAUGAAGAGGAUAAUUAUAGCGGUGUUGCAUGUUUGAAUGUGAUAGCAAAACGAAUUGCUACAGUUUUUGCUUCUUUAAGAGGAUUAUUGUUGCGAUAUUUGUUGAUUUCCUUUAGAAAAAGGAACAGGACAAAAGCCUUUAAGGAUUAUAUUUUAUAGUGAUGAAGCGGUUUGAGAUUGUAGAGCUGGUGGAGAAUUUGAAGGCAUCAAAUAGUCAAAUAAAUUUCUUUUUGAUUGGCAGUUUGAUGUAUCAGCCUCUACAUUUUCGUUGUCUUCUAUUGGUGGUGGUGAUAUUUACACGCUGAGAGUAGACUCAUUAAAAGAACUUUUCAGAACUUAUACCAUUGAAUCGACUCAUUAAGGCUUUGGAGAAGUUUAUAUCUUCAUCUAUAUCAUCUAUUGGUUUUUCUAAAUUCUGUCUAUUGUCAAAUGAUUAUAUCCUCAAUAUCUCAUGAUUCAUGGUCACAUGCGCAUCAGUUGGUUCAUUUAUAUAUAGGAAGUCACCUAUUGAGUAAGAGAAUGAGUGUCAUUGCAAAUUAAUAUUUGUUUUGUUAAAUAACAAAAAGUUGUUGUUUGUGACUGACAUGCAUUCGGUAUUUUGGUUCUUUUUCCAAUCCUUUUUUCUUAACUUAACGUUUAUUUCUGGUCAAUUUGAUUUUUAGGACUUCAUUUAGUAUGACUUUUGUUAGAUGUUAAGUUGAGUCACUACAAGAAUGAUUGAAAUUACCGACGGUCAUAAUUCCUCGGUAAUGUAUAAAAUCCGUCGGUAAUUAACAUUUACCGAUGGCUUACCGACGGCCAAAAUACCGUUGGUAAAAACGUUGUUGGUAAACUUUACCGACGGAUUUUUGGCCGUCGGUAAUUACCGAAGGCUUUUGGCCGUCGGUAAAUCCGUUGGUAAAUGUCGCGACCUGGUUCAUCUUUUACCUCUUCCUUCGUCGCUGUGUAAAUUUUGUUUUCCAUUUCCACGAACUCCACCACCAAAACGGCAUCACGCGAGUAACAAACUAGUUUCCAAAGUAUCAAACAACCAAUUUAUUUUCAAUAGUUAAAAUUAUAGUGAAUCAUGGAGAGUUUUUCUGCAAUUCUCAGAUUUGUAAGAUAAAUGUUUCUAAUCGUUUCAAUGUGGUGGAAAGAACGGUGGUAGAGGGCAGCGGUGGUGGAGAGAACGAUGGUAGAGGACAGCGGUGGUGGAGGGAAGCGGUGGUGGAGGGCAGCGGCGGGAGGGCAGCGGCGGGAGGGUAGUGACGGUGGAGAGCAACGAUGAUGGAGAGUAGCGGUGGAAAGCAGCGGUGGUGGAGAGCAGCGGUGGUGGAGGGCAACGGUGGUGGAGGACAGCGGCAGUGGAGGGCAGUGACGGUGGAGAGCAGGUGGAGAUUUCUUUACUGAUUGAAAUGAGAGGAGAAAUACUUCGUUUACCCACAUAUAUUGGCACUGGAUGCGAACUGGUUUCGAAAAAUUCUGAUUUUUUACCGACGGCCAAAAGCCUUCGGUAAUGUCAUCCACGAAAUAAUGGGCGGGAAAAAUCCCGCUCUUUUUACCGACGGCCAAAAGCCUUCGGUAAAUCCGUCGGUAAUGCACAUAAAAAUACCGUCGGUAAUUCCGUCGGAAAUUAAGAUAUAUUGACGGAUAUUGAUCCGUCGGUAAUAUUAAUAUUUUUUGUAGUGUGUGUUUCUGUUAAUUGGGCUUAGCCCAUUCUGUAUUUAGGGUUUAACCCUUAUCUAACUCGUUCCCUUAAUUGUGUUAUUUCUUUUACCAAAGAUUCUGUUUGGUUGCAGGACCGGAGUUCGAAACACAUGAUUGGCACAGGAUGUGAGUCUCAUGGCCUAUAUCAUCUCAGCCCUUCUCCACAUGUUGGCGUAAUCAUGGAGUCACCAUCCCUUCUUCAUGCUCAAUUAGGUCAUCCCAGUCUUACCAAACUGCACACUACAAUAAAAGUACGUAUUAGCGAAGGCUUAUUACCGACGGCCUUCAUGCCUUCGGUAAUGUAUUAGUAAAAUUGAAUAGCGAGGGGCUUUUGCCCUACGGUAAUGCCUCCGAUGUUUUAAGUUCAAAAUUUGAGUACAUGUUGCUCAAAUUCCCCAAAUUUCCCAAAAGCAGAACUCUAUCCCUUAUUCGUCGAACUCACUCUUGACUUAGGGUUGCAUCUUUGGUGGCAGUCAUCUGGUUCGACGCUGUGGUUUGACGGCACGAGUUUGGUGGUGUGGACGCUGACGGAGGUUUGUUGCUGGGUGGCGCUCUUCCAUUCCCUACUCUCUGUUUGAAGCGGUUCGUUGGUUUGAAGCUUGAGGUUGUCGCCCUAAGGCAGUUUGAAGCGGUUGCUGUUGUGGACGCUAACGGCGAUUCGUUGGUGGCUGGUUUGCGGCUAGGGUUUGUGUUUUGGUCCUUGUGAGUGUUGCGAUAGUGGUGGGGGUUGUUGAGGGUUGGCGUGUUGAGGGCUUUGCAGUGAAGUGGUGUUGGUUUGGCGACUUGGUUUGGGAUUGGGUCGUGGAUGUUGUUGUCGGAGAUGUCAAGGCGGAGAAGGAGGCAGAGGGAGGAUAUCUGCUACGAAAUCUCGCUAAAGAAGUUAUUGUGGGAAAGAUAGAGGAGUUCGAGCGAUUUUCGUGGAGGUCAAGGAAGCGGAGGUACACUAGUGGGGAGAGAUAAUCAAUUGGACCACAGAGGUUGAGGGAAGGGAGGAAGAGGCCCACCAUUCUGUCUUUUGGGUUCCCUUCUCAUUUGUCUCCCUUUAUGGAUUCAUUCGAAGCUUUGAAUGAUUUGUUUCGCUCGUAUUUUUUUUUUGUUUGGAUGCUUUUUUAUGCUUAUUUCUCAUUUAAAGCUCAAAUUUUUAUAUAAUUGAUGUACUUGUGGCUGGUUUACAUAAGUAGGUUACAGCAUUCGGAGGCAGUUCGCCUUUGUGGAUUGCGACGUUCUUUGUUCCCUUUGGAUGAUAGUUUUUGGAUUUUUCAUGGAUGUUUAUUUCUUAGAAGAUUAUGUGGGAUUCGUUCUCGUGUUUUCCUCUGUUAUUUGAUAUCUUGAUUUUGUUUGGUAUUUUUUUUUUCUUCUCUUUUUAAUUCUUGGAUGACAUUUGGUUGGAGUUUUCUGUAUUCCACUGCUUUGAGGAAAUUUAUACAACCUCGUUGUAGCUAAAUGUUUCAAGGUCAUAUGUUCCCUGUCUAUACAAUUUUAACCCAUUCUGAUUAAAGGUAACUUAUUCUGCUUCUAUGAUGGAAGUUUAGUUCCUUUCUGGUGACAUUACCACUCUUGUGUCACUGGAUGAAUACUUUCUUGCAAAGUAUUCUUGAAUUUGUUAUUCCUUAAGAAGAUUUGUGUGUUACGGUGGGCCUAAUAUGCUGUUGUAUGUUAUGUUAAUUUAGGGUUUUUGGUUUUGUAGUUUUAAUUGAGCUUUGUGCAUUUGUUGAUUCUUUGGGUUAUGCUCUUAGUUUUAACGCUUACUUUUUCAUGGGUUAAUUGGUUUAAGUUUAUCUUUUCCAGGUUAUGCUAUCGAUUCUCUGUUGGGGUAUGCACACAUCUGGGUUGCAUUCCCUUGCCAAAUGUUGGUUACUUUGGCGGAUGGUUUUGUCCAUGCCAUGGUUCCCAUUACAAUAUUUCUGGCAGAAUUAGGAAGGGACCGACACUCUACAAUCUAGAGGUGAUUUCUCCUAAAAGUGUAAGCAAUGUUGUUCUUGAUGCACCAGAGGCAGUGUUGUUGCAAUUGCUUUGUCAAAUUGUUCAAGAUGUUGCAAUUUGGCUGCAAGGAAGGGAUGAAACACUUGUUUAGUAAAAGGAUGGGAAGGAUUUAACAAGUCUUCAACUACUUUCCAAAAUACCACAGAUUUUUCAGAGCCCGAAUCAGUUAGGUCUUUUUGAAGAGAAUCUUCAGUUGUUUUCUUAUUUAGAAGUAGAUUUUAAAUGUUUUUCCUAUGUACUGAAGUGUAAGAAGUUGUAGUGUUGUAAUUUUGUGGCAACAAGUAUCUUAUGUAAAACACUACAAGUUGUAGUGUUGUGGCAGCAAGUAUCUUAUGUAUAACACUACAAAUAUAUUAUGCAAUAUCAUUUGAUAUCUCGUUUUCAA